Molecule: ribosomal RNA, 464 nt
Filed under: uncultured Gammaproteobacteria bacterium
Lineage: Bacteria; Pseudomonadati; Pseudomonadota; Gammaproteobacteria
Description: bacterial SSU rRNA
Rfam family: Bacterial small subunit ribosomal RNA
Source: RNAcentral
UGUGCCAGCAGCCGCGGUAAUACAGAGGGGUGCAAGCGUUAAUCGGAAUUACUGGGCGUAAAAGCGCGCGUAGGUGGUUCGUUAAGUUGGAUGUGAAAAUCCCCGGGCUCAACCUGGGAACUUGCAUUCAAAACUGUCGAGCUAGAGUAUGGUAGAGGGUGGUGGAAUUUCCUGUGUAGACAGAAAAAAAAUGCGUAGAUAUAGGAAGGAACACCAGUGGCGAAGGCGACCACCUGGACUGAUACUGACACUGAGGCACGAAAGCGUGGGGAGCAAACAGGAUUAGAUACCCUGGUAGUCCACGCCCUAAACGAUGAUUACUCGAUGUUGGCGAUACACUGUCAGCGUCUAAGCGAAAGCAUUAAGUAAUCCACCUGGGGAGUACGACCGCAAGGUUGAAACUCAAAGAAAUUGACGGGCCCGUCAAUUUAUUUGAGUUACCCCACCCGCGGCUGCUAGAGCAC